CCUACGGGCGGCAGCAGUGAGGAAUAUUGGUCAAUGGACGAGAGUCUGAACCAGCCAAGUAGCGUGAAGGAUGACUGCCCUAUGGGUUGUAAACUUCUUUUAUAUGGGAAUAAAACGUUCCACGUGUGGGAUUUUGUAUGUACCAUAUGAAUAAGGAUCGGCUAACGCCGUGCCAGCAGCCGCGGUAAUACGGAGGAUCCGAGCGUUAUCCGGAUUUAUUGGGUUUAACGGGGGCGUAGGUGGAUUGUUAAGUCAGUUGUGAAAGUUUGCGGCUCAACCGUAAAAUUGCAGUUGAAACUGGCAGUCUUGAGUACAGUAGAGGUGGGCGGAAUUCGUGGUGUAGCGGUGAAAUGCUUAGAUAUCACGAAGAACUCCGAUUGCGAAGGCAGUUCACUGGACUGCAACUGACACUGAGGCUCGAAAGUGUGGGUAUCAAACAGGAUUAGAUACCCUAGUAGUC
Molecule: ribosomal RNA, 460 nt
Filed under: uncultured bacterium
Lineage: Bacteria
Description: partial 16S ribosomal RNA
Rfam family: Bacterial small subunit ribosomal RNA
Source: RNAcentral